This 7367-nucleotide long non-coding RNA is filed under the name Equus caballus (horse). RNAcentral describes it as "lncRNA (ENSECAG00000055360.1)". Lineage: Eukaryota; Metazoa; Chordata; Mammalia; Perissodactyla; Equidae. The record is from RNAcentral.
CUAGAAGUGCCUCCUCUGGUUUUAAACGUUGUCAAGGUUUUUGCAAUCCUUUCGGAAAGUGAUAAGGAUAUUCUUUGACCCAGUAAUUCUAUUUUUGGUGACUUGGACAAUCAUUCUGAGUAAAUGUAACCAUGCGUCCUCUAGGACUGGUUCAAACUGACCAGAUCAAACUGAUGAUCUCAUCAACAGAAGGUUAAAGUUGUUUUGCAGGGCCAAGCCAAAAAAUGCAAGUCAUUUAGCCAGAGCAUGCACAGAAGAGAAAAUUUUGACCAGAAAUAACACCUAGAACCACAGAUUCUCCCCUUGAUGGAACCAAAGGACUGGGGAAGAACCAGAACUUGAAAGCUAGACUCUCUUCAGAAUAAAGAGGUCUCUUUCCUAGGAAGAUCCUGUGUUAAAAUCCUUUCCACAUCUUACCAUCAAAGUUUAAAGCCCUCCAGGUCAACUUCACAAUAAAGUCUUUUCUCGAAAGCUUGUGCCAUGGUGUCAGCUUCUGUGCAUACCAGGUGAUGAGCACUUGCGCAGUAAAAAUUUCUGGUGACCAGGAAGGGACUCGGUCCCGUGACCACCAGCCUGAAGCUCUUGAGCCCCCAGCAGACUGUGCAGUCUCUUCACUGACAGUAAGUGACCACCUAGAGGCUUGGCUGAACAGAUUCCUGUUUCCCUCCUUGGUACUAUAGGCCUAUGAGUACUAUUUUUCUACUUUUGAAAGAAGAAACAGCUUCUGGACCAAGACUUCUCUGGGUUCGGGGAAAAGAGAAGAGGCGAGAAGAGGAGACAAGCUGAGAAGAGAGGAGAGAACAGGAGAGGGACAGAAUGACGUUGUGUGUUGAAGUACAAUUGUGUUUUGGCUCCAAUGGCCUUGAAAAAGUUUUUUUCAGUUUUGUUACAAACCCAUCAUGCCAUCUGCAGGGAACUGGUUAAAUGGACUUGGCACAUCCACACAAAGGAGUAUUUUGCAACCUUAGAAAGAGAGGAAUGUUUACAACUACUUAUAGAAGUCUAGUAGACAGUAAAUAGCCCUGAAUUUCUUGGUGAACUGAGCUCAUCUCCAAAAGCAGAAGAGAUGUAGUGAAGCGUGGGCUCCACCUGGUGGUGACAUCGGAAAAUCACAAGCAUGGAUCCUGGAGCAGUGAUUUCGGAAGUGUAUGGACCUGCUGCCACUUCUUUAGAGAGGGGAGUAUCAGUGCAUUCCUGAGAAAUGUGUAUGUGUGUGCAUCUGUGUCUACUACUUCAAGCCCGGGAUAUGUGUAUAUCGGUUUUCUCUCUCCUGACCUUUAGAAGAAUGUGUUUUGUGCUUGGAACAGAUCUUAACCGCUCACUGUUUUCAGUAUGACUUCUAUGCAGAAAAUUCCCAAAUCCAAACAUUAACUUCCUUUGUAUGCUUCAGGCAUAGGAGUUAGGUAUGCACAUCCUCUUGGAUUCAGAGUUUUGAUGUCAAAUGCUCCACUUCUAAAGUUAAGUCUCAUCUUCACCACAAACCUGCUUCUUUAGCCCUAACAUUCAGUCAAUUAAGUAGGCUUGACACUUGGGGGUCACAUGUACACAGCACUGCUUUUUUUUCCCUCCUUUUUCCUUUCAAUAGGCUCUGUCUUAGUCCAGAACUUGGUUCUUUUAUUAUCAUAUUGAUAUAUUGAUGGAUUCUCCUUGCUUUUGUAAUAUGCUGCAGCUACAAUCCCAUCCAGUAAGCAGUCAAGUUAUUCUUCCUAAAAUACCACUAUUAACACAUUCUCCCAAAUUUGUAGUGAUAAUUUAGCCCAAUAAAAAUACUUGCUCUCUAUCAGGCACUGUGCUCAUUCUUUUAGAUUUACUACCUCUAAUCUCACAACAACUUAGCAAGAAGGGUGUGUUCAAUUUGGAGGGGGAAAACGAAGUUUAGAAAAUUAGCCAUUUGGACUAUCAAACAUGGAAUAAGUGAUAGAGCCAAGUUUAAAAGACCUGAGCUGAGAUUGCUAACAAUCUCAGGUUCUUCAAACUGCACAAGAGUAACUUCUUCUGUAUGGGAUAAUUUCAUACUCUGUUAACUUAGCAUCCAAGGAAUUCCAUAACAUAGCUCCCACCUUCCUUUCAAGCCUGAACUUGUACCAUCUCCAAUGGAAACCAUUUGCUCCACUCUCUCUAGUCUAUUACCACUUCUAUAUAUACCAUAUGCAUUCUCAUCUCUGUUCCGUCUUACGUUCUGUGAUGUACCUGGAAUCACACUACCUAUAUUUCAGGUAUGUUCCCUUAGACUCAUGCCAGGAACUCCGGGCUAGACUGGUGGGGAAGAGAAGGGUAUUUAGGGGCUGGGCAUAGAGACCAAUGUGGAUGUUGAGUGAAUUGGAAUCAGACUUGGAUCUGCAUGCCAACUUACCCAUUCAGUCUUGCACACCCUAAACCUCUUCAGACUAUUUAGCCCUCUCUGGCUUCCAGUAGGGUUCUGUAGCAAUGAUUAUACAAAGGGGGAACCUACUGCUGUCUAGGACACAGGAAGAUAGCAGGUGCCAUCAAAUAAUUAUAAUACCCAGAGUCAGACCAGAGGUACUAUCACGGUUCCCAAUGAUCUGACUCGAUAGUGUGGAAUCCAAGCUAUUGGAAGGCAAGACCACAAUCCCAGGGAGCCAGGAACAACUACACAGAUUGAAGAGCCUUUAAGAAUUUAAGAUGAGUGGGUAAGUUGACAUGCAAGUCAGAACCUGAGGUGAGGGUGGUGGGAAGGAUAAAGGAUGCCAUAUGUUAAUACCUGUGUGUACCCCCACCUCCCUCCCUCUCAGGAUCCACUAGAAAUCAGACAAAGGACAACAAGAGCAGUUCUAGACCCUGCUGCUGGUUGACUUGAGUCUGUAGAUAUACAUUGGUCAGUGGUGGUUCACUGAACCAGCCAGUUCCCGUGCAUUAGAAGAUCUAGGUAAAGGCAGCAUCUAAUAUCAUCCUUCCUUUCAGUCCAUAUCAUUUAUUAAUUUUUCAAACAUAAUUGAAGACUAAACUCUUAUGUGAAAUAUUUUCUUACAUGGCAUCUCAGAGACUUCUCUACCAGCUCUACAUAUCUAAGCCAUGACAAGUGCAGACUGGGUUUUGUUACUUAUAAAUGGCUCCCACUAUAGAUAUUUAUUCUUCAACUUACAUUGUUCAUUAACUUUAUACAUCUCUAUGGCUUGAGAGUCAAAAACAAUCUAGUAUGAAGGUCAGACAAAAAAACACAUGAUGAUAAAAUAAUGUGAUGUGAACUAUGGCAGAUUAAUGUCCAGGUUGUUAUGGGAAGUCAAAGAAGAUGCCUUGUGUUGUUUGGGGUGGGGGUAGUUUCUUCAGAUUAGUUUUUCAGGUCUCCAAACAUAAAAUUACUGAAUCAAAGAAUGUUCUCAUUACUUUCCAAAAGGAUUGCAAAAACCUUGACAACAUUUAAUACCACCAUAGGCAUUUUUUGUGUCAAGCUCUCCUCUCCUUCCUGGACACAUGGACAAUUACAGUCCCCUGCACUUAGGUGGGGACACAGUCUAGUUCUCAUCAAUGGACAGGGAUCUGAAGGAUCACCCAUUGGCUGUGGUAGUGAAUAGCUCUUAUUCAAAUUUUAGUCUCUUUCUUCCCCAUGUUGAGGCUAUAUACUGAGAUGCUGGAGGCACAAGAUCAAAGAAGCCUGCAUGGUUGAGUUCCCAUGUGGAAGAGAGUAGACCUAAUGUCUGGUCUGAGCUAGGCUAACACUGCAUGAAAAGAAAUAAUUCCUGUCUUAAGUCACUGAUAUUUAGAUGACACGUAUUACCAUGCAUAAGUUUACUCUGUCUUAAUACAGGACUGAUGCUUAGUAUUGUUUUGCUCCUUUGGCCUAUAACACAAUUCUUUGUUAUUCAUACUUAUGUGGUCAAUAAUAAAGAAAUUAUUCAUAAAUCUUUGCUGAAGCAGCAUCCAAUAAGAAAAAUGAAUGGAUCCUUUGCCUCCUUCUCAGAAAUGAGAGACUGACAGGAAUGUGGCAUGUGAUGAUUUGUAUGAAUGUUAGGUGGUUCUAGGAGACAGAAACCUUAAUAAACAAUGACAUUCAUGUAAACAGAAGUUUUUGUUUUGUUUUGUUUGAGGAAGAUUGGCCCUGAGCUAACAUCUGUGCAGUCUUCCUCUAUUUUAUGUGGGAUGCUGCUACAGUGUAGCUUGAGAGCAGUGCUAGGUCUGCCUGGGUUCUGCAACUGUGAACUCUAAGCUACCAAAGCAGAGCAUGUGAACUUGACAACUACACCACCAGGCCGGCCGCAACAGUUAUUUUUUAAUGUGCUAAAUCCAACUGACAGUGGCAGCCAGAAGGAUACGUGGAGAAGAGGGAUCAGAGGGAACAUAUCUGAAAGGCUGUGGGUCCUUCCAGUUGUGCCAUGUGGGAUGCCGAAUAAGAAUCUAUCUUAAAGUCACCUGUUUGUUCCCUGACCUAAGUUUAGAAAUCUACUUCAUGAAGCCAUCCACAUCUGCACUGGAAUAUUACUAGAAUUUGUUAGUUGUAAGUCUCAUUGGCUGGGACUGGUAAUGUCAGUUUCUUCUGAGAAGAACAGUGCCAAAGAUUCUUAAUGAGUAAUUUUGAUCUGGAAGAAAAUUCGUUGUUAUAACAUAAGGGAUUUUAUUAGAUUAAACAGAAAAAAAUACAAAGAAGUAUAAGGUACUAUAUUUUGUAAAGAUCAAAUGUUCUUGAAUAUCCUUUGUUAAAUAAAUCGUGUCAGUAAAAAUCAUUGUGCUAAAUCAUAAGAAAUUAAAUAUGAAUUGGCCAGCAAAACAGAUGUAGGUUAACAAGAUGGCUGGACACACAGGCAUGAGAAGAGAAAGUGUUUAGUUUUUAUAUUCUCGUCACUGAGAAAGAGUGGAAAUGGAAUGGAAUUGGAGUGGGCAAUGAUGGAGAUACUAUGGGAAAAAUUUGUGCAUAAACGUUAAGAAGUCUAGUCUGUCAUUUCACACCCUUUUAUCGUUUCAAUUUUCUUUGAGAUCCACUCUGUCUUUCCUGUCUUAUCUCCAUUAUAUAAGGAGAAAAGCUGCCUUGGAAAAGGUAGAGCUGUAACUUUCAGAAAUGCACUGUAAUUGGCAGCAGUUGUGCCAGCCUGCUAUGAAAAGAAAGCCCAUGAACGAGGUAUUUCAAAUCAACUGCAACAACAAAAAGAAAAGAAAUGAAUAUUUACCCUUGUAAUCAGUUAAAAUUAAAAGGUUCCUGGUUUUUAGCCAUAAAAUAAAAAGGAAUAAAGAAAAAGUAGAUUUGAAUAUAUAAAGUUUGUAUUUAAAUACAGCAAGCAAAACCCCGACAGAAAAACGGGCAAAUAAUGUGAAAAUAUAUUUAAAUAAACAGUAUGAACAUAAAUGCAUACUCAAUAUGUUUACACAACAAAGAACACAAGUUUUCCCUUCGGUAGUUGGCAAGAGUCAAAAUAAGAGGAUUUGAAACAUGAAAGGGGCAGUAUCAAGCCCCUUUUUGCCACAGCACAGCAACCCCGACUCGCCCCACAACCAGAGCCCAGAACCGGGAUAAGCAGGCGGAGGAAGCGGAAGGCGCGAGCGCAUUUGGGGAUUGUAGUCCACCGAGCUACCACGGGGGAUGCGAGCCGGCCUGAGUCAUCGAAGCGAGAGACGCUGUGCAGCGGUAGCGGAAGGAAAAGCUCGGCAGGGUCGCGGCGCGACUGGGGAACUGAGCCCGCGUGUGCGCACGCGCCAAGAAGAGCGCACUGCGCAUGCUCCCUGGCCAGUUGAAAGUCCCGUAACUACCCGUUCUCCGCGUUUUCCCCGCUUGAGACCCAUCCUGGGUCUUGAGAGAGCGGCGCGUUAUUGUUGUUCAGGGGAUUGUCAAAGUGUAAGGUGAAGAGAGACUAAUAAGCCAAGUUCAAAACAACUUUAUAAGAUCUUUACUAUCCGCAGAAGGCGAAUGUCGCUGUGACGUGACGCAUUAGUCUUGAGCUCCUAGAGGCCGGGGUGCGUCCUACUGACCUGUCCCCAGAACAGCCUUUUCCAGCCACUUCCACUCCCAGAGCCUCCUUGCACCUCAGGCCAUGUCGUCAGGAGUCCCCAGCCCUCUGUAGAGCCUCCGGGGCGUCUGUCAGCGGGCAGAGCCUGCUAGGACCCUCCUGUCAAGGCCAUUUGCUGGAGCCUCAGUGGAGGAGACUGGGCUGUUAAUUUCCGAAUCUGAAAUGACCAGAGCUGUGACCCUUUAUUUUGUAGAGUAAGCACUCAUCAUUUGGCAGGUGAAGAGAGAGUGAAUGUUGGUCCUCAGAGUAAAUUUCCCCCCACGUAGUGUUGUCUCUGCAUGCACAUUCCCUGUGCUAAGGGAAAACGCAGAUUCUAGAGAGUGGGGGAGGAGGAAGCACCCUAAGCAGCAAGAAUAGAUUCUGAGAGGAAACCCCUCUGACCUGAGACCUCUUUCAACAAAUUCAAGUGAGAACCUGGAGAGUUUGGGAAGAGAGAAGACUUUGGAACUCCCGGGUUUGCAUUCUCCCAGGACUUUCUGGCCCAGAAAGAGGGUGACUUGGGAGGAGUUACCACAACCACACAGAGAGUGACAGAGGGAGACAGUAGAGGGAGCUUAAGCCAAAAGGUUGAGUCAAGAGGUGGCAGUUACGGAAGAGUCGAGGGUGGGAAAGGAGCAACAGACCUUUUUGGGUGGGUAAGAGAGAAAACAAUGGCUCAGGUAAGGGGGCUGAUGUCUCGGUGGAGUCAAAUGUUCACUUCCUUCCUGAAGCCUGGACUGCCUGAUGUGGGCUAGUCUGCUCACUGUGGCUUCUUUCUUCCCCACUUGCUCUCUGUCUUCUCCACACUUUCCCCAGAGAAGGAGACCCUGACCCAGUUCCAGAUGAGUUGAUUUUUUUUCUCCUGAAAUUCUAAUUAGUCAGAGUUGUCUGAUCUUUGCUCCUGUUUAGAAAAGAGAAACUAGAUGAGCAUUUAUUGAGCGUCUAAUGUCUGUCAGUUACUUUUAGACGCUUUAGUGGUUCCUGUAUUUAUAUCUCAGAGGACCUGCAAACAUAUGUGAGUAUUUCCAUUAUGAGGGUGAGGAAAAUCUCUCAGAGAUAACAAAGGAAGUGUUCAUGGUCACAAAGUGUUAAAUUAUAAUUAGUAAUCAUUUUCUGGGAAAAUAUUUUGAGGCUAUGUAAAUCUCUUGUUGUUUGUCAAAAUUUCAUUCAAUACCUAUAACACUCAUUGAUGAUUCCUGCAUAAACCAGUCAUUACUACAAUAGCUGAAAAAUGGUGAUGUUGCAACUGUAUUACUUUUUGUUUUUAUGUUUCUCUUUUUUUAUGUAAUGAAGAGCUUUCCCUGCUACUUCAUUUAUUCAUAUAUUUAUAUCCGGAGAAAGUCAUGGAUCUUUAUUUUGCUCAAUGUGUCAUUCUUGAAUAAAUUAUCAUUUUUGAUUUUCAUGCUGAAAUUAUCUAGAUUUGUGCUGUAAGAG